GUGCAAAGGUAGCAUAAUCACUUGGGGUUUAAUUGGAACCUAGUAUGAAUGGUUGGACAAAGGAAGAGCUGUCUCUAUAAUAAGAAUUGAAUUUUACUUUUAAGUGAAAAGGCUUAAAUAUUUCAAAGGGACGAUAAGACCCUAUAAAGUUUUAUAAAUAAUUUAAAUUUUAUUAAUGUUAUAGUAAAGAUUAAGUUUAAUUAUUUUAUUUUGUUGGGGCGACAUAGGUAUAAUUGUAAGUAACUGCUAAGGUAAAGUUCUAUUAUAAGAGAGUUAUUAAUAAUGAUCCUUUUUAGAGAUUUAAAGGCUAAGUUACUUUAGGGAUAACAGCGUUAUUUCUUUUGAGAGUUCAUAUCGAGAGAGAAGAUUGCGACCUCGAUGUUGAAUUAAAAUGUCUAUAUAAUGAAGGUGUUAUAUAAGAGGGUCUGUUCGACCUUUAAAAUUUUACAUGAUUUGAGUUCA
This 462-nucleotide ribosomal RNA is filed under the name Serenius pilosus. RNAcentral's name for it is "partial 16S ribosomal RNA". It matches the Rfam family "Bacterial large subunit ribosomal RNA", at positions 1948 to 2613 of the family's 2925-position model. Lineage: Eukaryota; Metazoa; Arthropoda; Malacostraca; Decapoda; Xanthidae. The record is from RNAcentral.